RNAcentral lists this ribosomal RNA (504 nucleotides) under uncultured bacterium. RNAcentral describes it as "bacterial SSU rRNA". It matches the Rfam family "Bacterial small subunit ribosomal RNA", at positions 43 to 507 of the family's 1533-position model. The record is from RNAcentral.
CGUGCCUAAUACAUGCAAGUCGAACGCACUCUCGUUUAGAUUGAAGGAGCUUGCUCCUGAUUGAUAACAUUUGAGUGAGUGGCGGACGGGUGAGUAACACGUGGGUAACCUGCCCUAAAGUGGGGGAUAACAUUUGGAAACAGAUGCUAAUACCGCAUAAAACCUAACACCGCAUGGUGUAGGGUUGAAAGAUGGUUUCGGCUAUCACUUUAGGAUGGACCCGCGGUGCAUUAGUUAGUUGGUGAGGUAAAGGCUCACCAAGACCGUGAUGCAUAGCCGACCUGAGAGGGUAAUCGGCCACACUGGGACUGAGACACGGCCCAGACUCCUACGGGAGGCAGCAGUAGGGAAUCUUCCACAAUGGACGAAAGUCUGAUGGAGCAACGCCGCGUGAGUGAAGAAGGUUUUCGGAUCGUAAAACUCUGUUGUUGGAGAAGAAUGUAUCUGAUAGUAACUGAUCAGGUAGUGACGGUAUCCAACCAGAAAGCCACGGCUAACUACGUG